RNAcentral lists this ribosomal RNA (496 nucleotides) under uncultured organism. RNAcentral describes it as "SSU rRNA". It matches the Rfam family "Bacterial small subunit ribosomal RNA", at positions 17 to 509 of the family's 1533-position model. The record is from RNAcentral.
UCCUGGCUCAGGAUGAACGCUGGCGGCGUGCCUAACACAUGCAAAGUCGAACGAAGCACUUCUGAUCGGAGAUUCGUCGAAGAUUGGAUUUGACUUAGUGGCGGACGGGUGAGUAACGCGUGAGCAACCUGCCUUUCAGAGGGGGAUAACAGUUGGAAACGACUGCUAAUACCGCAUAACAUAAGAUCAUCGCAUGGUGAUUUUAUCAAAGCUGAGGCGCUGAAAGAUGGGCUCGCGUCCGAUUAGAUAGUUGGUGGGGUAACGGCCUACCAAGUCGACGAUCGGUAGCCGGACUGAGAGGUUGAACGGCCACAUUGGGACUGAGACACGGCCCAGACUCCUACGGGAGGCAGCAGUGGGGGAUAUUGCACAAUGGGCGAAAGCCUGAUGCAGCAACGCCGCGUGAGGGAAGACGGUUUUCGGAUUGUAAACCUCUGUCUUUGGUGAAGAAGAAAGUGACGGUAGCCAAGGAGGAAGCCACGGCUAACUACGUGCC